This 437-nucleotide ribosomal RNA is filed under the name uncultured bacterium. RNAcentral describes it as "bacterial SSU rRNA". It matches the Rfam family "Bacterial small subunit ribosomal RNA", at positions 411 to 844 of the family's 1533-position model. The record is from RNAcentral.
AAGGCCUUCGGGUGGUAAAUGAAGUUUGUCAGGGAAGAAAUCUUUUGGGAUAAUACCCAGGAAGGAUGGGUGUCCAUGAAGCAUAAGCACCGGAUAUAUAUGUCACAGCAGCCGGUAUAAUAUAUAGGGUGCGAGUUAUAAUCGGAAUUUGGGGUAUAAAGCGUGUACAGGGAUAUAUAAGUGACAGAUGAAAAAUCCCGGGUCUCAACCAGGGAAUUGCAUUUGUGACUGCAUGGUUAGAGUAGGACAGAAGGGGAGAGAUUUCAGUGGGGCGCAGAGAAGUGUGGAUAUUUGGGGGGGCACACCAGGGGAGAAGGCAAUUCCGUGGGCCAGUAGAGACGGUCAUGCAAGAAAGCGGGAGAGCACACAAGAUUAGAUCCCGGUAGAGCACACGCCAAAAAAGAUGUCAUAGGGUAGGAGGUAUCGACUCGUUCAGU